Molecule: RNA transcript, 3790 nt
Organism: Magallana angulata
Lineage: Eukaryota; Metazoa; Mollusca; Bivalvia; Ostreida; Ostreidae
Exons: 4
Source: RefSeq, a predicted model, not a curated record
GAAAUGUAGGGAUAAAGAGAGAGAGAGAGAGAGGAGAGAGCACCUCUUUCUCACUCAGCAAUCUUAUGUUGUAUUUUUCUACUGGUUGAGUGACUCUAUAAUCAGAACCAGAAUAAUAGACCAUCAAUUAUCCAAGUAGAGAAAAUAUAUUAAUCUUUAAAAAACCCAAAUAUAUUUCUUUUAAAAUUUGACAUUGAAUGUUUAUACAAACAAUAAUAAUCCUAAAACUCUUUAUUUUCAUUGAACAGGUUAUGACCCAGACUUCCCACAUCAUGGACACAGCAAGCUCCCAAUACAUCACAGCAAGCUUCUCAUUUAGACUACAUCAAUGUUCUAAGUGUCCGGGGGACACAGCGUACUAUUGUGUAUCGUGUCCAUGUGAUCUGUGUCCCCAGUGUAAAGAGAACCACGUAAAAGAUCUCCAAACAAUAGACCAUGAUGUUGUGUCACACCGUGAUAAACUCAACUACAUCCCAACACAAGAGAUCUGUGUGAGACAUCCUAGCCAUGUUUAUACAAAGUACUGUGAACCUUGUCAAGUUCCUGCCUGUAAUAAUUGCCAAACACAUAGAAAACACACUCAGAUAGAUGUUAUAACAGCCUAUAAAACAAAGCGACAACAACACAGAGGAACCAUUCACACCAUCAGAAGUGAGGCUCUCUUUUACAGACCUGUUCUCCUGACAGAAAUCAAAGCUGAUGUCAAAACCUGUCACACAGAAUUCUCCCCCCUUCAAUCAGAGAUGUUAACAAAGGCCCAGAGACUGAAGGAUCUCAUUGACUAUGUGGUAUAUGAUCUAUUGAACAAUGUGUUAUGUUACUUUGAUUUUAAACACAGAUGUAAAAAACAAAAGAUAGAAAUGAUCAGACAUAUUGUCAGACUAAGGAGAUAUGAACACAGAUAUGUACAGCCAGCAUUCACAUUCAGUGCGCUACAAUUCCUCUCCUUCACAAAGGCAGCCCUCCCCCAGAUACAUCUUACACUCCACACCAGCCAGCUCUCCAUGACUGAGUCACUCAACAAGGAGGAUGUGAUGGAGUCACUGAGUGCAAUGCAAAUCACAGAGAGAGGAAACCGACGCGUAGGAAACCAGUGUCUGCUGAAACUGACGUCUGGUGCUGAGUUCCAUCAAUCUCUCACAGUGCCAGGUGUUGAUUGUUGUCGUCACAUUUCCUGUGUGACAUCAGACCGGGUCUGGGUCAGUGAUUUUAACAAUUUCAUGUUGACAGACACAACAGGUGUCCCUCUACAUCGUGUGGAGGAUUCAUUGAGUGGUGAUGGAGGAUCACACACAGUGAACAGUGAGAGUGAACUGAUUUAUAUAGAUGAGGAUUAUAACAUCAACAAACUGUCAAAGGAUAUGAAAACAACCACCACAUUUAUAGAGACAACAGACUCUACAUGGAGACCACGGUGUGUGUACUGGUCCCCGUCCACUGGGGAUCUACUGGUUGCGAUGUUUAACAGUGAUACAUACACAGGCAAGGUAACCCGGUACAACCAGAGUGGACAACUCACACAAACCAUACAGUACCACAACACAGGACGGGGACUGUAUAGAUUACCUCGCUAUAUAACAGAGAACAACAAUGGGGAUGUCGUGGUGUCUGACUUUGAGUUUCGUGCUGUAGUGGUGACAGAGCGUGGAGGAAGACAUCGUUUCUCCCACACAGGACAUCCAUCAGGAUCAGGACUACAGCCAUGGGGAAUCUGUACUGACGCGCUGUCACACAUCCUGGUGUGUGAUGGUAGAACCGACACAGUACAGAUGAUAAAUAAGGACGGUCAGUUCCUGUCACAUCUACUGACAAAAUCACAAGAGAUGGGUAGACCAUGGGGCCUGGGUUAUGAUGUCAACACUCACCGUCUCUGGGUCGGAUCACCGUGGAACAACAAGGUGUGUGUCUACAGGUAUAUCACCAGACAGGACGCUCUGACAGAUGAACACAGACCCCGUCCUGAUGAAGACACCUGAUACACGACACCUCGUCACAACAACUCAUCAACUAAACGAAGAUGAACACAGACCCCGUACUGAUGAGGACGCCAUGUCCAGCUCAACACCAGCCGUAUAAUGGAGAUAGCUGGGAUAUUGACAGACAAGCUGCUUUUUAAACACCUUCAGGGGGAGACAUUAGAAAACCUUCCCGGAUUAUCCAUAAUUCCAAUGGAGUUACAGAAGCCAAAUAAUUACCGGUCAUCAACGGACUUUGUGUUCUGUGCGUGAACUCUACAUAAACGUUUCAUGAAUGGACUCUGUAUCUGUGUAGGUGAACAAAAAUAACGCGUCAUCAAUGGACACUGUUGCUGUGUAUGUGAACUCUGCACAAAAAUAACGCGUCAUCAAUGGUCUCUGCGUUCUGUGUACAUGAAAUCUGCACAAAAAUAAUGUAUCUGUCUGCCUGAACUCUACAUAUAUAACGCGCCAUCAAUGGACUCUGUAUCCGUGUGCGUGAACUCUACAUAUAUAACGCGCCAUCGAUGGACUCUGUAUCCGUGUGCGUGAACUCUACAUAUAUAACGCGCCAUCGAUGGACUCUGUAUCCGUGUGCGUGAACUCUACAUAUAUAACGCGCCAUCGAUGGACUCUGUUUCUGUAUAGGUGAACUCUACAUAUAUAACGCAUCCUCAAUAGACUCUGUGCUCUGUGUACCUAAACUCUUUAUGAAUAAGGCAUCAUCAAUGGACUCUGUCUUUUGUGUACGUGAACUGUACUGUAAUUUGUUAUCAUACGUUUUUUGUCAAUUUUAUCUAAGUGUAAAUUUUGUCAGUAUAUAAUAUGUUUUACAUAUCUAAGCUCCUGAAAUUUCUGGUAUCAUUCGGUGCUAGGACGGAGAUGUCCAUUACAAUUGUAGCCAAUGUGUCACAUAUUGUUUUUUUUGUAAUUUUGAUUUUUACACAAGAAAUCUUGUAUGUUGUAAUAAACAUUAUAUUCAAAGGGGAAUAACUCAAAAUGUGUAUUUUUCAGUCAGGAUGAAAAAACAGUUAUUCCCCUUAUAUAAUUUUCAUAAGAUGGAAGUUUUACUUAAAAAUGAGAAAUGAAUUUGAUGGUGUUUAUCCGUGACAGUUUUAUUGGUAGGAUUGAUCAUUUGGAAAGAAGUGAUCUGAUAAGCUUUUGAUAAGAAUUUGAUAAGUUUUCGUUGGGUUUUUUUAUACAAUGUUAUGUAGUUUUAAUUUCAAUAUAUUAAUAGUUGAUGUUAGUUUUUAAUUGAUUAAGUUUGAGCUGUGCCUGUGUAACAAUUGGUGCAUCAUAUAUUGCUUGUUAUGCUCAAAAGGUAGGUCACAGUGACCCAAUUAGAAUUAUGGUAGUUUAUAGUGAAACUAUUUUAGAACAUAUCUAUUUAUUUGAAAAAAUAAACUAACUUGUGUUUUAGAAAUGAUGUACCAUUAAUUAUACCAGAAGUCAUAUACUCAUGUAUAUAUCAAUUUGAAAGUAGGUCUUGAUGACCUCAAUUUGUAUUUAGCAUGUUGUUAAUCCUAUGUGUUUGUUAAUGGUGUUUAAGCACAUUUCUCACACUCUGUAUCUCUGUUGACCAGAUAGAUAGGACAACUCAAGUUAAUGUCAUUUAUUUGGAGAAAUAUUGUACGCAAGUUUAAGCGAGAUGAUUUUUUUGUGUUUACCCACACAAUAAACCUGAUGAAAUACAUUUAUAACAUAUAUAUAUAGUAUUAUGUUUAUUUUUAUUGUGUUUACUCUUACCAUGAAAAACAUAAUACUUGUAUACAAAUGAUGUUUGGGGAAAUGUAGCGAGCUGUAGAUAAAAGUCAAUAAACUUAAAGUGACAUGUC